Molecule: ribosomal RNA, 682 nt
Rfam family: Bacterial small subunit ribosomal RNA
GCAGUCGUGCGAGAAGGGCUUCGGCCCCGGUAAAGCGGCGCACGGGUGAGUAACACGUAGGUAACCUACCCUCUGGUGGUGGAUAACCUUCCGAAAGGAGGGCUAAUACAGCAUAAGACCACGGCCUCGCAAGAGGCAGGGGUAAAAGCGGGCCUCUGCAUGCAAGCUCGCACCAGGGGAUGGGCCUGCGGCCCAUCAGCUAGUUGGUGAGGUAAUGGCUCACCAAGGCAAAGACGGGUAGCUGGUCUGAGAGGAUGAUCAGCCACACUGGAACUGAGACACGGUCCAGACUCCUACGGGAGGCAGCAGUGGGGAAUCUUGCGCAAUGGGCGAAAGCCUGACGCAGCGACGCCGCGUGAGUGAUGAAGGCCUUCGGGUUGUAAAGCUCUGUGGAGGGGGACGAAUAAGUGUCGUCGAAUAGACGGCAUGAUGACGGUACCCCUUUAGCAAGCACCGGCUAACUCUGUGCCAGCAGCCGCGGUAAGACAGAGGGUGCAAACGUUGUUCGGAAUUACUGGGCGUAAAGCGCGUGUAGGCUGCUCGGAAAGUCGGAUGUGAAAGCCCUGGGCUCAACCUAGGAAGUGCAUUCGAAACUUCCGAGCUCGAGUUUCGGAGAGGAAGGCGGAAUUCUCGGUGUAGAGGUGAAAUUCGUAGAUAUCGAGAGGAACACCGGUGGCGAAGG